CAAUAGCGUAUAUUCAAGUUGUUGCAGUUAAAAAGCUCGUAGUUGGAUUUCUGGUGGGAGCGAUCGGUCUGGCGCUUAGCGCGAGUACUUGCAUCGUCUCCGGCCAUCCUUGGGGAGAGUCUGUCUGGCAUUAAGUUGUCGGGCAGAGGAUCCUCAUCGUUUACUGUGAAAAAAUUAGAGUGUUCAAAGCAGGCUUAUGCCGUUGAAUAUAUUAGCAUGGAAUAAUAAGAUAGGACUUUGGUACUAUUUUGUUGGUUUGCGCACCAAAGUAAUGAUUAAUAGGGACAGUUGGGGGUAUUCGUAUUCCGUUGUCAGAGGUGAAAUUCUUGGAUUUACGGAAGACGAACUACUGCGAAAGCAUUUACCAAGGAUGUUUUCAUUAA
RNAcentral lists this ribosomal RNA (383 nucleotides) under uncultured eukaryote. Its description in RNAcentral is "partial 18S ribosomal RNA". It matches the Rfam family "Eukaryotic small subunit ribosomal RNA", at positions 592 to 976 of the family's 1831-position model. The record is from RNAcentral.